RNAcentral lists this ribosomal RNA (253 nucleotides) under uncultured bacterium. RNAcentral's name for it is "partial 16S ribosomal RNA". It matches the Rfam family "Bacterial small subunit ribosomal RNA", at positions 524 to 776 of the family's 1533-position model. The record is from RNAcentral.
UACGUAGGAGACGAGCGUUGUCCGGAGUUACUGGGCGUAAAGGGUGCGCAGGUGGCGGCGCGCGUGGGGGGUGAAAUCGCCCGGCUUAACUGGGCGGGGGCCUUCCAGACGGCGUGGCUUGAGCAGCGGAGGGGGACGUGGAAUUCCGGGUGGAGCGGUGAAAUGCGUAGAGAUCCGGAGGAACACCGACGGCGAAGGCGGGUUGCUGGGCCGACACUGACGCUGAUGCGCGAAAGCCAGGGGAGCGAACGGG